RNAcentral lists this ribosomal RNA (1532 nucleotides) under Bordetella pertussis. RNAcentral's name for it is "bacterial SSU rRNA". It matches the Rfam family "Bacterial small subunit ribosomal RNA". Lineage: Bacteria; Pseudomonadati; Pseudomonadota; Betaproteobacteria; Burkholderiales; Alcaligenaceae. The record is from RNAcentral.
AGAUUGAACUGAAGAGUUUGAUCCUGGCUCAGAUUGAACGCUGGCGGGAUGCUUUACACAUGCAAGUCGGACGGCAGCACGGGCUUCGGCUGGUGGCGAGUGGCGAACGGGUGAGUAAUGUAUCGGAACGUGCCCAGUAGCGGGGAUAACUACGCGAAAGCGUGGCUAAUACCGCAUACGCCCUACGGGGGAAAGCGGGGGACCUUCGGGCCUCGCACUAUUGGAGCGGCCGAUAUCGGAUUAGCUAGUUGGUGGGGUAACGGCCUACCAAGGCGACGAUCCGUAGCUGGUUUGAGAGGACGACCAGCCACACUGGGACUGAGACACGGCCCAGACUCCUACGGGAGGCAGCAGUGGGGAAUUUUGGACAAUGGGGGCAACCCUGAUCCAGCCAUCCCGCGUGUGCGAUGAAGGCCUUCGGGUUGUAAAGCACUUUUGGCAGGAAAGAAACGGCACGGGCUAAUAUCCUGUGCAACUGACGGUACCUGCAGAAUAAGCACCGGCUAACUACGUGCCAGCAGCCGCGGUAAUACGUAGGGUGCAAGCGUUAAUCGGAAUUACUGGGCGUAAAGCGUGCGCAGGCGGUUCGGAAAGAAAGAUGUGAAAUCCCAGGGCUUAACCUUGGAACUGCAUUUUUAACUACCGGGCUAGAGUGUGUCAGAGGGAGGUGGAAUUCCGCGUGUAGCAGUGAAAUGCGUAGAUAUGCGGAGGAACACCGAUGGCGAAGGCAGCCUCCUGGGAUAACACUGACGCUCAUGCACGAAAGUGUGGGGAGCAAACAGGAUUAGAUACCCUGGUAGUCCACGCCCUAAACGAUGUCAACUAGCUGUUGGGGCCUUCGGGCCUUGGUAGCGCAGCUAACGCGUGAAGUUGACCGCCUGGGGAGUACGGUCGCAAGAUUAAAACUCAAAGGAAUUGACGGGGACCCGCACAAGCGGUGGAUGAUGUGGAUUAAUUCGAUGCAACGCGAAAAACCUUACCUACCCUUGACAUGUCUGGAAUCCCGAAGAGAUUUGGGAGUGCUCGCAAGAGAACCGGAACACAGGUGCUGCAUGGCUGUCGUCAGCUCGUGUCGUGAGAUGUUGGGUUAAGUCCCGCAACGAGCGCAACCCUUGUCAUUAGUUGCUACGAAAGGGCACUCUAAUGAGACUGCCGGUGACAAACCGGAGGAAGGUGGGGAUGACGUCAAGUCCUCAUGGCCCUUAUGGGUAGGGCUUCACACGUCAUACAAUGGUCGGGACAGAGGGUUGCCAACCCGCGAGGGGAGCCAAUCCCAGAAACCCGGUCGUAGUCCGGAUCGCAGUCUGCAACUCGACUGCGUGAAGUCGGAAUCGCUAGUAAUCGCGGAUCAGCAUGUCGCGGUGAAUACGUUCCCGGGUCUUGUACACACCGCCCGUCACACCAUGGGAGUGGGUUUUACCAGAAGUAGUUAGCCUAACCGCAAGGGGGCGAUUACCACGGUAGGAUUCAUGACUGGGGUGAAGUCGUAACAAGGUAGCCGUAUCGGAAGGUGCGGCUGGAUCACCUCCUUU